Molecule: non-coding RNA, 76 nt
Organism: Potamilus streckersoni
Lineage: Eukaryota; Metazoa; Mollusca; Bivalvia; Unionida; Unionidae
Source: the annotation of a GenBank genome assembly
CAAUCUCCGGUAGCCUAGUGGUUAGAGCGUCCGCCUUGGAUGCGGCAGGUCGCGUGUUCGAACCCCGGUCGAUUGA